ACGAUCACCGUUCUCCUGUCUGCUUGAUAUGAUUGUGAGAAUUGAGGGGAAAGACAAUGCUGUUCGAGUACGUGAGGAAUUGAGAAAGUUCAUCAGCAC
Molecule: long non-coding RNA, 99 nt
Organism: Clupea harengus (Atlantic herring)
Lineage: Eukaryota; Metazoa; Chordata; Actinopteri; Clupeiformes; Clupeidae
Exons: 2
Source: RefSeq, a predicted model, not a curated record